Long non-coding RNA from Alosa alosa (allis shad), 183 nucleotides. RefSeq lists it as uncharacterized. The record is from RefSeq and is a predicted model, not a curated record. Lineage: Eukaryota; Metazoa; Chordata; Actinopteri; Clupeiformes; Clupeidae. The transcript is spliced from 3 exons.
UAUUUUUUAGACGACUCUAAGGUACUGAGAGCAGUAGUUUAUCUGAUGACCUCAGAGUUCUGGGAGGGCAGUGAAAGUGUACAAACUCACUUAGGUAUUGGGGAGCUUGUCCAUUUAAAGCUUUAAAGACAAAAAGAAGAAUUUUGUAAUCUACUCUAAAUUUCACUGGUAACCAUUGCAGAG